This is a non-coding RNA of Diaporthe sp. PMI_573, 82 nucleotides long. The record is from the annotation of a GenBank genome assembly. Lineage: Eukaryota; Fungi; Ascomycota; Sordariomycetes; Diaporthales; Diaporthaceae.
GAAGCUGUAGCUCAGUGGAAGAGCAUAAGAUUGCAACUGUUGAGGUAUCUUGGGGUCCCGUGUUCGAACCACGGCAGCUUCU